UACAGAGGUGGCAAGCGUUGUUCGGAAUUACUGGGCGUAAAGCGCGCGUAGGCGGCUGUGUAAGUUAGAGGUGAAAGCCCGGAGCUCAACUCCGGAAUUGCCUUUAAGACUGCAUCGCUAGAAUCAUGGAGAGGUGAGUGGAAUUCCGAGUGUAGAGGUGAAAUUCGUAGAUAUUCGGAAGAACACCAGUGGCGAAGGCGACUCACUGGACAUGUAUUGACGCUGAGGUGCGAAAGCGUGGGGAGCAAACAGG
Molecule: ribosomal RNA, 253 nt
Filed under: uncultured bacterium
Lineage: Bacteria
Description: partial 16S ribosomal RNA
Rfam family: Bacterial small subunit ribosomal RNA
Source: RNAcentral